RNAcentral lists this ribosomal RNA (482 nucleotides) under uncultured bacterium. RNAcentral's name for it is "partial 16S ribosomal RNA". It matches the Rfam family "Bacterial small subunit ribosomal RNA", at positions 28 to 507 of the family's 1533-position model. The record is from RNAcentral.
GAUGAACGCUAGCGGCAGGCCUAAUACAUGCAAGUCGGACGGGAUUCAGGAGCUUGCUUCUGCUGAGAGUGGCGCACGGGUUCGUAACACGUAUGUAACCUACCUUUAUCAGGGGGAUAGCCUCUCGAAAGAGAGAUUAAGCCCGCAUAAAAUCACAGCACAUCAUUGUUUAAUGAUCAAAUAUUUAUAGAAUAAAGAUGGGCAUGCGUAACAUUAGCUAGAUGGCGGGGUAACGGCCCACCAUGGCGACGAUGUUUAGGGGAUCGGAGAGGAUGGCCCCCCAGACGGGUACUGGGACAAGGACCAGACUCGAAGGGGAGGCAGCAGUAAGGAGUAUUGGUCAAUGAGCGGAAGCCUGAACCGGCCAUGCAGUGUGGAAGAAGACGGCCCUAUGGGUUGUAAUCUGCUUUUAUAAGGGAAUAAGCCAAGAUACGUGUAUCUGGCUGAAUGUACUGUAAGAAUAAGGAUCGGCUAACUCCGUG